AGGUGCCAAUGUGGGAUAUUUAUCCUUGUUAGACGCUGACUAUGACAGAAGACCUCCAAACAAAUACUUUGCUAAGGCAGUGAACUACACAGUACAUUUCCAGUGGAUCCAAUGCCUGUUUUGGGAUGAGAGAGAGUGGAAAUCUGAAAGUUUCUCUCCACAACCAGGAACUUCUCCAGAAAAAGUUAAUUGCAGGUAUGAGCAUACUGUUGGGAAAGAGUCCGGGAAUUUUAGCAAGUGACUACAUUGGCUUCUUCAUUUGGUCUGGGCCCUGGAAUCUCUUCUGAAUCAUGUCCUCCCAUGAAUAGCUGGAAAAGUCUUGGAUGGCACAACCCUAACAGGAUGAGCCUUUUAUACCCAUUCUCAUGUCAGUCUUGAUUCUUCCAUGCUGUCCUGUGGCUCUGAGGGGAGGGGACUGAUUUCUACCUGGUCAUCAUGCCCACCCCUCCCAGUGAUGACUGCAGUGCAGUAGCUAUUUAUUGAGCUUCUUUCUACUCAGAAAAGAUUCAAUAGAGAAGAGGCAACAGGGGUCCAGUUUUAUUAUCAUGGAAAUGCUGGUACCCCUUGGGUGUGCAGUUUGAAGUCAGACAGACAGGGUCCUCUGCUCUCACUGCCCCUCUGUCCCUCCUCUUCCUGUGCAGAGGAGUCCUCACCCCACACCCCCAGGCCUGGCUCAAGGAUGAACAUCAUGAGACUCUGCACAGACAUGAGCUCCCUUCUCAGGAAUUUCUGGGUAUCUGAAUCAUGUUACUAAAUUGGAAAUUCUUUAUUUUCUAGCCACAAAAUUUACAAUUGUAUGAGAAGCUUAGUCCUUUCAUUUUGGUUGUCCUUACCCUCUUGUUAAGGUAGAUAUCAACAAUAAUUUAGGCAUAUUUAGAAGUAGAAAUAGUUGUUUCCUCCUUAGGAAAAAUUAAACCAUAAGAAACUGUAUAUUAUGGUUGCCAGUUAGGGGGCAAAUAUGUCCUGAUUAGAGCAUCUCGAUGACAUUCAUCUUUGUUUUUGACUUUAUUGUGUUGCACCCUUUUGUGGUUGUGCCAUUUGAAUUUUCAGGUAAUGGCCCAAUAUUCCACUUUUAUAUUUAAUUAUAAAUUAAUGCCAUCAUUCAUUCUCUAUGACAUACCAGUCCCUGCUAGGUACUUUUACAGAAAUGAGUAACACAUGGAAAUUGCUCACAAGUUAGUGAAGAUGAGAUAGGUUUUAUUUUUAAAGAUAAUAUACCAUAGUGAGCUUCAUCUUUAUGUAUAUCUGUAAUACACUUGAUUUUUUUGAAAAAGCUAUAUAUAAAUAUAAGACUGAUAGAAGAAAGGGAACCAAGAAAGGAAGGAGGAGAAGGAAAGAAAUACUGGGAACUAAAUUAGAGAAAAUUAAAUUCCAUGUUUGUAUAAUUAUGUCAAAAUGAACCCCGAUAUUAUAUAUUACUAUAAUGCACUAAUAAAAAGUUGUUUUUUUUUUUAAAGAUAGUACUCAUGGUGGUGGUCAUGGUAGGAGCUGCCAAUGAUAGGGCCUUUGCAAUGCCGAGAACAGGUGCUCAGGCAAAGGUUCACAGCAUGUGCUGAGUUGCCGAGAGCAGCCCACAGAAGGGCUUAAACUGAGAGUCUCAUGGGGAAGCUGGGCUGAGGCAGGUCCUUCCAUGGAGUCUGCAACACAUUCAGGACAGUCUCCACAGGCGCUGUAUCCAGUUCCCGGAUGUGAAGAUGUCUGGUACUUCAGAGGAGUCUCGGUCCAAAAAAUAAUUUCAAACUUAGGUUGGGAUACACACUGUGAACUGGGCACACAUGGUAGCAGUAUGUUUAGGACCUGUUUUCUUUUUCACUCUGGUUAGCUUACCACUACCCUGUGAACAGCUGCUCCUGUUACACAUUUGGUAUCAUAAUGUGCAUUUUCCUCCUAGCUAUGACCGCCUCACAGUGUUCUCUGUCUUGAGAAGAAAGCUAAAGGCUGGUUUUGAAGUGAGCGACAUAUCCAGUUUACAGCAGUAAGUUCCAUCUUCUUCUUUUUUUUUUUUUUUUUAAUUCUUGGUUUUAUUUCUUAUGCUUUAGGAUUCUUGUUAAGGAAAUCAGGGCCUAAUCCAACAUGAUGAAGAUUUGGGCCUACUUUUUCCUCUAUUAGGCACAGGGUUUCUGGUCUAAUUCCUAGGUCCUUGAAGUUCCAUCUUCUAAAUCAAGAUUUCAUUUUGUUGUUGCCACUGCCCACUCAGCAUGCUCAUGUAUAAUUAAGCAGAUGCUUGAAAUCUGUGUUUUAAAUGUAUUUAUUUAUUUAUUUUUGCAUUACAAUUCUUAAUACACCACUAUACCAUAAUUUAUCAUAUCUCUGAUUAUAUAUAAAGUAUGUUGACACCAAAUUCACAUCUUCAUACAUGUAUUUUGUAUAAUGAUGAGGGUCUUAUUUUGUUUUUUGGAUUAUGAAUAUUAGGAGAUAAUUGUCUUUAAAUACUAUAUCCACUGUCUGUCUUAGCUUUUUCACUGCUGUGACUAAAAGAUCGAAUCAGAAUGACUUUAGGGGAGGAAAAGUUUAUUUGGGGACUCGCGGUUUCAGAGGUCUCAGUCCAUAGACAGCUGGCUGCAUUCCUCUGGAUUCCAGGCAAAGCAGGACAUCAUGGUGAAAGAGUAUGGCAGAGGGAAGUGGCUCACACGAUGAUCAGAAAGCAGAGAGAGACACUCCACUUGCCAGAUACAAAAUACAUACCCCAAAGCCACACCCCCAGUGCUCUAUCUCCUCCAGCCUCACCCCACCUGUCUUCAGUUACCACUCAAUGCCACCAGUGAUUAAUUCACUGAUUGGGUUAAGGCUAUCCUAACCCAAUCCUUUCUCUGCUAAACCUUCUUUCAUUGUUUCACACAUUAGCUUUUGGCAGACACCUCACAUCCAAACCAUAACACUGUCUAUACUUACAUUCACUGACAAAAGAGAUUUAUAAACAUAAGAGAGUCAACAAUUUUUUUUAAUUUUUAGGUUUAGAUUUAGUUCAGUGUGAAUUUGGAUAAUUAUAAUUGAUUAUGUUAAUAUCUAUGGUAAUGUCACCUCUAGAUUUGUCUGACCUGGUUUAUACUUAUAGUCACAGCUUAAUUGUUAAUAGCUCUCUUGGUCUCUGAGAUGUAUCCAUUUUAAACAGUAAGUUUAAAAUUCACCCUAUUUUAAUAGCCACUGUUUCAUAUGAAACAAUUUAUAUUUAGAGUCUGAAACAGGGGUACAUCAAGGGCAAGCUUCUGUAGGCAGCAACCUUCUCUGUCUCAUUUGUCAAGCUGACCCAUGUUUAAUACAGAGCUUGUCCCUGGUAGGUGUUCCGUAAACAUUUGCUGAGUGAAUAUUAAGGGCAGAUCUGCACUUCCUUGGGUGUUGAGUUUUUGAGUUUUCCUACCUUGAUAUUCUUAUAAUAGGAAACUCUGCCUUUAUUACUUAAUCAACCAUAGUAUUUCCUGGACUAGUUGGUGAAUAAGAGAAUUUGUAAAUAAGACAUUAAUUACUAAUGUAAUUCUUGCUGACCUCAGAGAAGGGUCACCAGUCGUCCAGUGAUCAGGGCGCUAAGUGCAGCAGCUCAGCCCUGGUUUCCACAGCACUGACACCAUUGGGGAGGGGGCUGUAAACAAAGAGGUUUGGGGAAGCUCAGGGGAUGUCCAGAUAGAAGACAACACCUGAAGUCACACAGAGGCAGUAGCAUCAGGGACAUCUGGCCAGAAUCCAGGAGGUUCCAAGCCACAGCUCAGGUAUAGUAAGGACAAACUAGAGCCAGGUGGUUGUGAGCUGAUUGGGUAUGGCUUAGAACAAGCUUGUCCUGGUCUUGCUGGGAAAGAAGGAAGAAGAGUCCAGGCAAGACCAGGAGCACAGCCCAAUCCUAGAUAUAGUCAAAGAGCAGUGAGGCAGGGGACAUAGCACAGAGUCCCCAAGCAGUAUGGACUCCAGGCUCUACCUCUGAAAUCUUAUCAAAGAUUUCAUAAGGCUGAGCCCAGCCAGAAUACCUUAUUAGGUUAAGGGCCCAACACAGGGGACUCUAUAUGGAUACCAUUCUGUGGGUCUGCAGGGGCUAGAGGAUCUCUCUCCCCAAGCCAGGAUUGGUGUGUGACCUACAGGUGGGGAGUAAGCAGUGCCACCCACAGACAGGUACAGGUGGGAUAUAGAUAAGUCUACCUGUUUGGGUCGCUGCGUCUGAAAGACCUGACCAGAACAACUGUAGAGGAGGAAAGGUUUAUCUGAGAAAGGUUUAUCUGAGAGCUCACAGUUUCAAAGGUCUCAGUCCAUAGACAGCCAGCUCCAUUUCUUGGGGCUUGAAGUGAGGCAGAACAUCAUGGUGGAAGAGUAGGGAAAAGGGAAGCUUCUCACAUGGUGAUUAGUAAGCAGAGAGGGAAAGUCUUUCAGAUUCAAAUAUAUACCCCAUAGCCACGCCCCCAAUGAACCACUUCCUCCAGCUACACCCCACCUGCAUCCUGUCACCAUCCAGUUAAUACCAUCUGGAAUUAAUUCACUGAUUAGGUUAAGGCUAGAAUCCAAUCAUUUCUCCUCCAAACCUUUUGCAUUGUUUCACAUGUGAGCUUUUGCAGACAUCACAUCUAAACCAUAACACUACCUGAAACCCCUCCAACAUCUCCUAGCCUUGCCCUGGAGGCAGAAGAGGGAAGGGGGAAGAAUGUUGCAUCUGCAUGUUUGAAGUACACAUCUGCAUGCCUUAAUCUUCAUAAUAGCAUGAGAUUGGCAUUUUUCUCAUUUCCCGAUAAAAGUUCCUCAGGCCCAGCGGGUGCAGCUUCCCACCUCAAAGGCAGGUUCAGCACAGGCCUCCUUGUUCUGGAGUUCAUGCCAUGGUAGCCCUGUAUUCAGAAGCUCCUUGCACUGGGGCUCCAGGACAUGUUUGAAAACAACCUGCAGACCAUCAUGUGGUGUGUGUGUGUGUGUGUGUGUGUGUGUGUGUGAUCAGUUUUCUAAGUGUCUAUUUCCAUGUGUAAUUCUCAUUAUAUCUUUUCCUUUUUUUUUACUCACAGUCACCCACAAAACCUACUUCCCAGUAUUUUUAUUGUGAUUUUUAUGAUUCUUUAUGGAUUUUUGGUUACUAAAAGCAGAUGUAUAGAUAAUCAUGAAAAAAAGAAAAUGGGAUACAUUUUUCUGCAAGAAUAUACCCCACCUGGCCACAAGUUGUAUGCUGUUGUCAUUGACACUGGCUUCAGGGCACCAGCUCGAUUUACCUCAAAGGUAACAUAAGGCCCUGGGGAUACUUCGGUGGAGUCUAAGUGUGUAGCCUUCAAUGC
RNAcentral lists this long non-coding RNA (5234 nucleotides) under Marmota monax (woodchuck). Lineage: Eukaryota; Metazoa; Chordata; Mammalia; Rodentia; Sciuridae. The record is from RNAcentral.